UCAACCUGGUUGAUCCUGCCAGUAGUCAUAUGCUUGUCCUAAAGAUUAAGCCAUGCAUGUGUACGUUCAAGCCCUUGUACGGUGAAACUGCGGAUGGCUCAUUAUAUCAGUGAUAAUUUGGUUGAUGGAGAGAUAUCGUGGAUAACCGUGGUAAUUCUAUGGCUAAUACAUGUGGAGCAGACGCAAGUCUGGCA
This 194-nucleotide ribosomal RNA is filed under the name uncultured eukaryote. RNAcentral describes it as "partial 18S ribosomal RNA". It matches the Rfam family "Eukaryotic small subunit ribosomal RNA", at positions 1 to 205 of the family's 1831-position model. The record is from RNAcentral.